This 429-nucleotide ribosomal RNA is filed under the name Bacteroidota bacterium. RNAcentral describes it as "Bacteroidetes bacterium partial 16S ribosomal RNA". It matches the Rfam family "Bacterial small subunit ribosomal RNA", at positions 355 to 776 of the family's 1533-position model. Lineage: Bacteria; Pseudomonadati; Bacteroidota. The record is from RNAcentral.
UAGGGAAUCUUCGGCAAUGGGGGGAACCCUGACCGAGCAACGCCGCGUGAGUGAAGAAGGUUUUCGGAUCGUAAAGCUCUGUUGUUAAGGAAGAACGAGUGUGAGAAUGGAAAGUUCAUACUGUGACGGUACUUAACCAGAAAGGGACGGCUAACUACGUGCCAGCAGCCGCGGUAAUACGUAGGUCCCGAGCGUUGUCCGGAUUUAUUGGGCGUAAAGCGAGCGCAGGCGGUUAGGUAAGUCUGAAGUUAAAGGCAGUGGCUCAACCAUUGUAGGCUUUGGAAACUGUUUAACUUGAGUGCAGAAGGGGAGAGUGGAAUUCCAUGUGUAGCGGUGAAAUGCGUAGAUAUAUGGAGGAACACCGGUGGCGAAAGCGGCUCUCUGGUCUGUAACUGACGCUGAGGCUCGAAAGCGUGGGGAGCGAACAGG